Molecule: ribosomal RNA, 415 nt
Filed under: Vibrio parahaemolyticus
Lineage: Bacteria; Pseudomonadati; Pseudomonadota; Gammaproteobacteria; Vibrionales; Vibrionaceae
Description: bacterial LSU rRNA
Rfam family: Bacterial large subunit ribosomal RNA
Source: RNAcentral
GGCUCAUCACAUCCUGGGGCUGAAGUCGGUCCCAAGGGUAUGGCUGUUCGCCAUUUAAAGUGGUACGCGAGCUGGGUUUAGAACGUCGUGAGACAGUUCGGUCCCUAUCUGCCGUGGGCGUUGGAAGAUUGAAGGGGGCUGCUCCUAGUACGAGAGGACCGGAGUGGACGAACCUCUGGUGUUCGGGUUGUGUCGCCAGACGCAUUGCCCGGUAGCUAAGUUCGGAAUCGAUAACCGCUGAAAGCAUCUAAGCGGGAAGCGAGCCCUGAGAUGAGUCUUCCCUGAUACUUUAAGUAUCCUAAAGGGUUGUCGGAGACUACGACGUUGAUAGGUCAGGUGUGUAAGUGCUGUGAGGCAUUGAGCUAACUGAUACUAAUUGCCCGUGAGGCUUAACCAUACAACACCCAAGGGGUUU